Molecule: ribosomal RNA, 841 nt
Filed under: Salmonella enterica subsp. enterica serovar Panama str. SA20030878
Lineage: Bacteria; Pseudomonadati; Pseudomonadota; Gammaproteobacteria; Enterobacterales; Enterobacteriaceae
Description: bacterial LSU rRNA
Rfam family: Bacterial large subunit ribosomal RNA
Source: RNAcentral
UACUAUAGCUUGACACUGAACAUUGAGCCUUGAUGUGUAGGAUAGGUGGGAGGCUUUGAAGUGUGGACGCCAGUCUGCAUGGAGCCGACCUUGAAAUACCACCCUUUAAUGUUUGAUGUUCUAACGUGGACCCGUGAUCCGGGUUGCGGACAGUGUCUGGUGGGUAGUUUGACUGGGGCGGUCUCCUCCUAAAGAGUAACGGAGGAGCACGAAGGUUGGCUAAUCCUGGUCGGACAUCAGGAGGUUAGUGCAAUGGCAUAAGCCAGCUUGACUGCGAGCGUGACGGCGCGAGCAGGUGCGAAAGCAGGUCAUAGUGAUCCGGUGGUUCUGAAUGGAAGGGCCAUCGCUCAACGGAUAAAAGGUACUCCGGGGAUAACAGGCUGAUACCGCCCAAGAGUUCAUAUCGACGGCGGUGUUUGGCACCUCGAUGUCGGCUCAUCACAUCCUGGGGCUGAAGUAGGUCCCAAGGGUAUGGCUGUUCGCCAUUUAAAGUGGUACGCGAGCUGGGUUUAGAACGUCGUGAGACAGUUCGGUCCCUAUCUGCCGUGGGCGCUGGAGAACUGAGGGGGGCUGCUCCUAGUACGAGAGGACCGGAGUGGACGCAUCACUGGUGUUCGGGUUGUCAUGCCAAUGGCACUGCCCGGUAGCUAAAUGCGGAAGAGAUAAGUGCUGAAAGCAUCUAAGCACGAAACUUGCCCCGAGAUGAGUUCUCCCUGAGACUUAGAGUCUCCUGAAGGAACGUUGAAGACGACGACGUUGAUAGGCCGGGUGUGUAAGCGCAGCGAUGCGUUGAGCUAACCGGUACUAAUGAACCGUGAGGCUUAACCUUACAACGCCGAAG